Molecule: ribosomal RNA, 253 nt
Filed under: uncultured bacterium
Lineage: Bacteria
Description: partial 16S ribosomal RNA
Rfam family: Bacterial small subunit ribosomal RNA
Source: RNAcentral
UACGUAGGGUGCGAGCGUUGUCCGGAAUUAUUGGGCGUAAAGGGCUCGUAGGCGGUUUGUCGCGUCGGGAGUGAAAACGCCGGGCUUAACUCGGUGCUUGCUUUCGAUACGGGCAGACUAGAGGCAUUCAGGGGAGAACGGAAUUCCUGGUGUAGCGGUGAAAUGCGCAGAUAUCAGGAGGAACACCGGUGGCGAAGGCGGUUCUCUGGGAAUGUCCUGACGCUGAGGAGCGAAAGUGUGGGGAGCGAACAGG